Molecule: unclassified non-coding RNA, 84 nt
Filed under: Pseudomonas umsongensis
Lineage: Bacteria; Pseudomonadati; Pseudomonadota; Gammaproteobacteria; Pseudomonadales; Pseudomonadaceae
Source: RNAcentral
UGUAGGAGCUGGCUUGCCAGCGAUGGGACCCUUGAAUGUUGCGUUGUCCUUGCGGAUGCCAUCGCUGGCAAGCCAGCUCCCACA